Molecule: ribosomal RNA, 320 nt
Filed under: uncultured eukaryote
Lineage: Eukaryota
Description: partial 18S ribosomal RNA
Rfam family: Eukaryotic small subunit ribosomal RNA
Source: RNAcentral
CCCUUAGAUGUUCUGGGCUGCACGCGUGCUACAAUGGCGCUUGCAACAAGUCUUGCCAACCCGAUAGGGUGAGCGGAUCUUUGAAGAGGCGUCGUGAUCGGGACAGUUGAUUGCAAUUAUUCGACUCGAACGAGGAAUUCCUUGUAAUCGCGAUUCAUCAUAUCGCGCUGAAUACGCCCCUGCCCUUUGUACACACCGCCCGUCGCUCCUACCGAUUGAGCGAUCCGGUGAAUGUUUUGGACUGGCGUCAGAAGCGGUUCGCUCCUGACACUACGAAAUUUUGUAAACCUUAUCGCUUAGAGGAAGGAAAAGUCGUAACA